RNAcentral lists this ribosomal RNA (465 nucleotides) under uncultured bacterium. RNAcentral's name for it is "partial 16S ribosomal RNA". It matches the Rfam family "Bacterial small subunit ribosomal RNA", at positions 28 to 507 of the family's 1533-position model. The record is from RNAcentral.
GAUGAACGCUGGCGGCGUGCUUAACACAUGCAAGUCGAACGGAAAGGCUCCUGCUUGCAGGGGUACUCGAGUGGCGAACGGGUGAGUAACACGUGGGUGAUCUGCCCUGCACUUCGGGAUAAGCCUGGGAAACUGGGUCUAAUACCGGAUAGGACGAUGGCUUGGAUGCCAUUGUGGAAAGUUUUUCGGUGUGGGAUGAGCUCGCGGCCUAUCAGCUUGUUGGUGGGGUAAUGGCCUACCAAGGCGUCGACGGGUAGCCGGCCUGAGAGGGUGGACGGCCACCUUGGGACUGAGAUACGGCCCAGACUCCUACGGGAGGCAGCAGUGGGGAAUAUUGCACAAUGGGCGCAAGCCUGAUGCAGCGACGCCGCGUGGGGGAUGACGGCCUUCGGGUUGUAAACUCCUUUCGCUAGGGACGAAGCGCAAGUGACGGUACCUGGAGAAGAAGCACCGGCUAACUACGUG